AAUCUUUCGCAAUGGGCGCAAGCCUGAUGCAGCAACGCCGCGUGCCCGAGGACGGCCUUCUGGUUGUAAAGGGCUCUUCUGGCUGACGAGGAAGGACGGUAGGCCAGGAAUAAGCGUCGUCGUACUACGUGCCAGCAGCCGCGGUAAAACGUAGGACGCGAGCGUUAUACGGAUUUACUGGGCGUAAAGCGCGGGCAGGCGGUGGUCCUAGUCGGACGUGAAAGCUCCCGGCUAAACUGGGAGAGGUCGUUCGAAACUGGGCCGCUAGAGGGCAGUAGAGGGGCGUGGAAUUCCGGGUGGAGUGGUGAAAUGCGUAGAGCUCCGGAGGAACACCAGAGGCGAAGGCGGCGCCCUGGGCUGCACCUGACGCUGAGCCGCGAAAGCUAGGGGGGCGAACGGG
This 400-nucleotide ribosomal RNA is filed under the name uncultured bacterium. Its description in RNAcentral is "partial 16S ribosomal RNA". It matches the Rfam family "Bacterial small subunit ribosomal RNA", at positions 360 to 776 of the family's 1533-position model. The record is from RNAcentral.